UGGGGAAUAUUGCACAAUGGCGAAAGCCUGAUGCAGCAACGCCGCGUGCGGGAUGACGGGCCUUCGGGUUGUAAAUCCGCUUUCAGCAGGGACGAAGGUUUUCUGACGGUACCUGCAGAAGAAGCACCGGCUAACUACGUGCCAGCAGCCGCGGUGAUACGUAGGGUGCGAGCGUUGUCCGGAAUUAUUGGGCGUAAAGAGCUUGUAGGCGGUCCGUUGCGUCGGAAGUGAAAACUCAGGGCUUAACCCCUGAGCCUGCUUUCGAUACGGGCGGACUUGAGGGAUGUAGGGAGAACGGAAUUCCUGGUGGAGCGGUGGAAUGCGCAGAUAUCAGGAGGAACACCAGUGGCGAAGGCGGUUCUCUGGACAUUUCCUGACGCUGAGAAGCGAAAAGCGUGGGGAGCAAAACAGGCUUAGAUACCCUGGUAGUCCACGCCGUAAACGGUGGGCACUAGGUGUGGGACCCAUUCCACGGGUUCCGUGCCGUAGCUAACGCAUU
RNAcentral lists this ribosomal RNA (499 nucleotides) under uncultured bacterium. RNAcentral describes it as "partial 16S ribosomal RNA". It matches the Rfam family "Bacterial small subunit ribosomal RNA", at positions 355 to 861 of the family's 1533-position model. The record is from RNAcentral.